Molecule: ribosomal RNA, 480 nt
Filed under: Nonionella sp. T1
Lineage: Eukaryota; Foraminifera; Rotaliida; Nonionidae
Description: SSU rRNA
Rfam family: Eukaryotic small subunit ribosomal RNA
Source: RNAcentral
UGGCUUAAUUUGACUCAACGCGGGAAAUCUUACCGGGUCCGGACACACUGAGGAUUGACAGGUAACGUUAUACACACAUAUAUAUUUACUCUCGGGUAUUUGUACUUCGCUGUGUAUAUAUAAAAUAUGCUAGUCCUUUCAUGAUUAUGUGAUAGGUGGUGCAUGGCCGUUCUUAGUUCGUGGAGUGAUCUGUCUGCUUAAUUGCGUUUCACUAAGGAUCUAUAUUCAUAUUACGCAUAGCAUUUUGACCCCUUUAUGCUUCGGUAUAAAGCUGCGCGUCAAACCUUGCUAUCUGCGUAUAUUAGAUCCUGAAAGCAACGAACGUGACCGCAACCUCUUGUUGCCUUUAACUAGGUUUUGCUUACGUAUAGCUUCGGCUUUACGCUUUGCAUCUAAAAAGGCUGAUUUUCUAAACUAGAGGGACCGCUGUUACUUUCUUAAACCAGAGGAAGGUUGCGGCAAUAACAGGUCUGUGAUGCC